RNAcentral lists this ribosomal RNA (405 nucleotides) under uncultured Eubacteriales bacterium. RNAcentral describes it as "bacterial SSU rRNA". It matches the Rfam family "Bacterial small subunit ribosomal RNA", at positions 355 to 774 of the family's 1533-position model. The record is from RNAcentral. Lineage: Bacteria; Bacillati; Bacillota; Clostridia; Eubacteriales.
UCGGGAAUAUUGCGCAAUGGAGGAAACUCUGACGCAGUGACGCCGCGUAUAGGAAGAAGUUUUUCGGAAUGUAAACUAUUGUCGUUAGGGAAGAGAAAGGACAGUACCUAAGGAGGAAGCUCCGGCUAACUACGUGCCAGCAGCCGCGGUAAUACGUAGGGAGCGAGCGUUAUCCGGAAUUAUUGGGUGUAAAGGGUGCGUAGACGGGAGAACAAGUUAGUUGUGAAAUCCCUCGGCUUAACUGAGGAACUCCAACUAAAACUAUUUUUCUUGAGUGCAGGAGAGGUAAGUGGAAUUCCUAGUGUAGCGGUGAAAUGCGUAGAUAUUAGGAGGAACACCAGUGGCGAAGGCGACUUUACUGGACUUGUAACUGACGUUGAGGCACGAAAGUGUGGGGAGCAAACA